UUGCUCUUCAACGAGGAAUACCUAGUAAGCGCGAGUCAUCAGCUCGCGUUGAUUACGUCCCUGCCCUUUGUACACACCGCCCGUCGCUACUACCGAUUGAAUGGCUUAGUGAGGUCUUGGGAUUGGCUCCGGGAAGCCGGCGACGGCAUCCUGUUGCUGAGAACUUGAUCAAACUUGGUCAUUUAGAGGAAGUAAAAGUCGUAACAAGGUUUCCGUAGGUGAACCUGCGGAAGGAUCAUUAAUGAACUUUGAAGGGGUUGUAGCUGGCUCGCAAGGGCAUGUGCACACCCCGUUCAAUCCAUCUCACCCCUGUGCACCACAAUGUAGGGAUGGCGGACCGUGAGGUCUUCCGUCUCUAUGUCAUUUACAAACUCGAUAGUAUCAGAAUGUAAACGCGUGUAACGCAUCUUAUACAACUUUCAGCAACGGAUCUCUUGGCUCUCGCAUCGAUGAAGAACGCAGCGAAAUGCGAUAAGUAAUGUGAAUUGCAGAAUUCAGUGAAUCAUCGAAUCUUUGAACGCACCUUGCGCCCCUCGGUAUUUCGAGGAGCAUGCCUGUUUGAGUGUCAUGGAAUCAUCAACCUCAACACCUUGUCGUGUUGAAGGCUUGGACUUGGAGGCUUAUGCCGGCGUCAGUCGGCUCCUCUGGAAUGCAUUAGCUGGACUUUGAGUCUGGUUGCACGGUGUAAUAAUUAUCUGCAUCGUCGGCCUCUCUGUGGGACCAGCUUCCAACCGUCACCUUCACGGAGACAAUUCUACUUGACCUCUGACCUCAAAUCAGGUAGGACUACCCGCUGAACUUAAGCAUAUCAAUAAGCGGAGGA
RNAcentral lists this ribosomal RNA (823 nucleotides) under uncultured fungus. Its description in RNAcentral is "eukaryotic LSU rRNA". The stretch from base 1 to 241 matches the Rfam family "Eukaryotic small subunit ribosomal RNA", at positions 1593 to 1831 of the family's 1831-position model. Lineage: Eukaryota; Fungi. The record is from RNAcentral.